RNAcentral lists this long non-coding RNA (311 nucleotides) under Brassica napus (rape). RNAcentral's name for it is "long non-coding RNA (BNAP_LNC002849)". The record is from RNAcentral. Lineage: Eukaryota; Viridiplantae; Streptophyta; Magnoliopsida; Brassicales; Brassicaceae.
AAGGAGCUAUCAGAGCGCUUUCGUCCUCCCUCUUUCUCACUGUGAUCCGUUAUUUCGUUAAAAUCACCUAUCAUGAACCAAUGUCCAUUUCGUGUUGUCGAGAAACGCGUAAAACGUUCCCAUACUUGUUCCCUACGUUCUAAUACAUGGUCUCCAUAAACAAACGUCAUGAAAACUUUUAUUCCAUCAAUGACUGCCUCAAUGUCAAUCAUUCUGUUAUUUGAAAAUAAAACAUUAACUUGGAAUUCGUCCAUAAACAAAAUAGCUAAACCUCCGCUAAGACCAAGUGGCUCAACGGUAAACAAGUGAUC